GCCUUUGUAGUACAUAUAAUACCUUGGUCUUGUAAACCAAAAAAGGAGAGUACACCCUCCCUAAGGCU
Hyaena hyaena (striped hyena) is the source of this 68-nucleotide non-coding RNA. Lineage: Eukaryota; Metazoa; Chordata; Mammalia; Carnivora; Hyaenidae. The record is from the annotation of a RefSeq genome assembly.